This is a non-coding RNA of Camelina sativa (false flax), 886 nucleotides long. The record is from RefSeq and is a predicted model, not a curated record. NCBI's taxonomy places the organism in Eukaryota, Viridiplantae, Streptophyta, Magnoliopsida, Brassicales, Brassicaceae.
UUUAAAAAAAACAUAAUCUCUUUGCUCUCAUUCUCUCAUCUCAUCAACGCAUUCUUGUAAGAGCGUUUUACCUAAAAAGUAAAGUGAUUUUUACGUCGUCAGCUCUUUGGAUUCUCCCAGUUAGCUUUCAUGGAAUCGAUGAGCAUGCCAAAUUAACAAGUAUCAAGUCUCUGCUCUCGAGUCUCGAUCUCGUUGCUCUCCGGUCCAGAUCGAUAUUUUACCUAAUUCCUUUCAGUUCGUCGAUCCCCGAGAUUAUCUAUGCUCUCUCUCCGUCGUAAAGUGAUGAUCGACAACGGCAUCAACGACGAUCACUCUACGAGAGUCGGUAUCUUCAACGACGACAUUGACAUCCAGAGAUGAGAAAUAUCACGAGAAAACAUCUGCAAGACGGUGGACUUUUCAAGUCUGGCAAUGGCGGCUUUGCUGUGUGGGCCCUCUUUCGACCUUCCAACGUCUUCAACCAAGUCAUCCUUAAAGCAAAUAGGUUAUAACCUCUUUACCAAAUUUGUGUCGGAAGAUGACGACAUUUAUUUUGCCUCUCCAUGACAGUUUUUCUUCAUUGGGAUUAUUAUUCUCUUCCAUGGAGUAGAUCUAUGGAGGGGCACAUUUUUGUGCAAUCGAUUAAUGCGUUUGUGAUCAUUUUUAUUGUGUUUUUUUUUUUUUGGUUUUAAUCAUUACAUUAUUUCAGCAGCCUGACGAUUUCUUGGAUUAAACAAACAACAAAAACAAACCAAUGAAGCAUUGUCCAUUGAAACAGAGCAGUAAUAAGAGAAAGGGUUUUAAUUUUUAGUAAUAUGAUUCAUUGAGGAUCUUACUGACUCUGAUAUAAGUGAGACCUGCUUUGAUAUCAUGGGUUUUGCUGAGUAAGGUGAAUAAUUGAGUUUGA